UACGUAGGUGACAAGCGUUGUCCGGAUUUACUGGGCGUAAAGAGCGCGCAGGCGGUCGUUCAAGUCGAGUGUGAAAGCCCCCGGCUCAACUGGGGAGGGUCACUCGAUACUGAUCGACUCGAAGGCAGGAGAGGGAAGUGGAAUUCCCGGUGUAGUGGUGAAAUGCGCAGAUAUCAGGAGGAACACCGAUGGCGAAGGCAGGUCUCUGGGCCACUACUGACGCUGAGAAGCGAAAGCAUGGGGAGCGAACAGG
RNAcentral lists this ribosomal RNA (253 nucleotides) under uncultured bacterium. Its description in RNAcentral is "partial 16S ribosomal RNA". It matches the Rfam family "Bacterial small subunit ribosomal RNA", at positions 524 to 776 of the family's 1533-position model. The record is from RNAcentral.